This 356-nucleotide ribosomal RNA is filed under the name Anopheles gambiae (African malaria mosquito). Its description in RNAcentral is "12S ribosomal RNA". It matches the Rfam family "Microsporidia small subunit ribosomal RNA", at positions 808 to 1311 of the family's 1311-position model. Lineage: Eukaryota; Metazoa; Arthropoda; Insecta; Diptera; Culicidae. The record is from RNAcentral.
UAGAGGAAUCUGUUCUGUAAUUGAUAAUCCACGUUGGACCUCACUUAAUUUUGUUUUCAAUUUGUAUAUCGCCGUCAUCAGAAUAUAUUAUAAGAUUAAUAAUUUUCUUGAUAUUUCAUUAAAUAAUAUGUCAGGUCAAGGUGCAGUUUAUGGUUAAGUAGAAAUGGAUUACAAUAAAUAUAUUUAUACGGAUAAUUUUUUGAAAUAAAAAUUUGAAGGUGGAUUUAAUAGUAAUAUAAAAUAGAUUAUUUAUAUGAUUAUAGCUCUAAAACAUGCACACAUCGCUCGUCGCUCUCAUUUUUAAAAUGAGAUAAGUCGUAACAUAGUAGAUGUACUGGAAAGUGUAUCUAGAAUGA